AGCAGCCGCGGUAAUUCCAGCUCCAAUAGCGUAUAUUAAAGUUGUCGCAGUUAAAAAGCUCGUAGUUGAAUUUCGGGGUCAGCAAGUUGGUCGUGCCACUGGUAUGCACUGGCUUUGCUGAUUCCUCCUUCCUGAAGAACUGUAAUGCUAUUAAUUUAGUGUUGCAGGGAAACAGGACUGUUACUUUGAAAAAUUAGAGUGUUUAAAGCAGGCUAACGCUUGAAUACAUUAGCAUGGAAUAAUGAAAUAGGACGUUUGAUCCUAUUUUGUUGGUUUCUAGGAUUGACGUAAUGAUUAAUAGGGAUAGUUGGGGGCAUUAGUAUUCAAUUGUCAGAGGUGAAAUUCUUGGAUUUAUUGAAGACUAACUACUGCGAAAGCAUUUGCCAAGGAUGUUUUCAUUAAUCAAGAACGAAAGUUAGGGGAUCGAAGACGAUCAGAUACCGUCGUAGUCUUAACCAUAAACUAUGCCGACUAGGGAUCGGAUGAUGUUAAUUUUUAAUGACUCAUUC
This 509-nucleotide ribosomal RNA is filed under the name uncultured Glomus. Its description in RNAcentral is "SSU rRNA". It matches the Rfam family "Eukaryotic small subunit ribosomal RNA", at positions 569 to 1081 of the family's 1831-position model. The record is from RNAcentral. Lineage: Eukaryota; Fungi; Glomeromycota; Glomeromycetes; Glomerales; Glomeraceae.